UCUAACCCCGGUCCGCUGGCCGCUGGAGUGCGGAGGAUGCGUGCGUUAUCCGGAGUCAUGAGGUGUAAAGGGUGGGCAGGCGGAUAGAUAAGUCGGAGGUGAAAUUCUGAUGCUCAACAUCAGCCGUGCCUUCGAUACUGUAUAUCUAGAGUCAAGUUGGAGUAGGCGGAAUGUGUUGUGUAGCGGUGAAAUGCUUAGAUAUAACACAGAACACCGAUCGCGAAGGCAGCUUACUAAACUUUGACUGACGCUCAUGCACGAAAGCGUGGGGAUCAAACAGGAUUAGAUACCCGGGUAGUC
Molecule: ribosomal RNA, 300 nt
Filed under: uncultured Helicobacter sp.
Lineage: Bacteria; Pseudomonadati; Campylobacterota; Epsilonproteobacteria; Campylobacterales; Helicobacteraceae
Description: bacterial SSU rRNA
Rfam family: Bacterial small subunit ribosomal RNA
Source: RNAcentral